This 253-nucleotide ribosomal RNA is filed under the name uncultured bacterium. Its description in RNAcentral is "partial 16S ribosomal RNA". It matches the Rfam family "Bacterial small subunit ribosomal RNA", at positions 524 to 776 of the family's 1533-position model. The record is from RNAcentral.
UACGAAGGGUGCAAGCGUUACUCGGAAUUACUGGGCGUAAAGCGUGCGUAGGCGGUUUGUUAAGUCUGUCGUGAAAGCCCUGGGCUCAACCUGGGAAUUGCGAUGGAUACUGGCAAGCUAGAGUACGGUAGAGGAUGGUGGAAUUCCCGGUGUAGCGGUGAAAUGCGUAGAGAUCGGGAGGAACACCCGUGGCGAAGGCGGCCAUCUGGACCAGUACUGACGCUGAGGCACGAAAGCGUGGGGAGCAAAAGGG